GGUGGCUCAGUGGUAGAGCACUUGCCUUGCAUGCAUGAGGCCCUGGGUGUGAGUCCUCAGCACCA
Molecule: transfer RNA, 65 nt
Filed under: Dipodomys ordii (Ord's kangaroo rat)
Lineage: Eukaryota; Metazoa; Chordata; Mammalia; Rodentia; Heteromyidae
Rfam family: tRNA
About the family: Transfer RNA (tRNA) molecules are approximately 80 nucleotides in length. Their secondary structure includes four short double-helical elements and three loops (D, anti-codon, and T loops). Further hydrogen bonds mediate the characteristic L-shaped molecular structure. tRNAs have two regions of fundamental functional importance: the anti-codon, which is responsible for specific mRNA codon recognition, and the 3' end, to which the tRNAs corresponding amino acid is attached (by aminoacyl-tRNA synthetases). tRNAs cope with the degeneracy of the genetic code in two manners: having more than one tRNA (with a specific anti-codon) for a particular amino acid; and 'wobble' base-pairing, i.e. permitting non-standard base-pairing at the 3rd anti-codon position.
Source: Rfam by way of RNAcentral